GAUGAACGCUAGCGGGAGGCCUAACACAUGCAAGCCGAGCGGUAUUUGUUCUUCGGAACAGAGAGAGCGGCGCACGGGUGCGGAACACGUGUGCAACCUGCCUUUAUCUGGGGGAUAGCCUUUCGAAAGGAAGAUUAAUACCCCAUAAUAUAUUGAGUGGCAUCAUUUGAUAUUGAAAACUCCGGUGGAUAGAGAUGGGCACGCGCAAGAUUAGAUAGUUGGUGUGGUAACGGCUCACCAAGUCAAUGAUCUUUAGGGGGCCUGAGAGGGUGAUCCCCCACACUGGUACUGAGACACGGACCAGACUCCUACGGGAGGCAGCAGUGAGGAAUAUUGGACAAUGGGUUAGCGCCUGAUCCAGCCAUCCCGCGUGAAGGACGACGGCCCUAUGGGUUGUAAACUUCUUUUGUAUAGGGAUAAACCUACUCUCGUGAGAGUAGCUGAAGGUACUAUACGAAUAAGCACCGGCUAACUCCGUG
RNAcentral lists this ribosomal RNA (479 nucleotides) under uncultured bacterium. RNAcentral describes it as "partial 16S ribosomal RNA". It matches the Rfam family "Bacterial small subunit ribosomal RNA", at positions 28 to 507 of the family's 1533-position model. The record is from RNAcentral.